This 472-nucleotide ribosomal RNA is filed under the name uncultured bacterium. RNAcentral's name for it is "bacterial SSU rRNA". It matches the Rfam family "Bacterial small subunit ribosomal RNA", at positions 28 to 507 of the family's 1533-position model. The record is from RNAcentral.
GAUGAACGCUAGCUACAGGCUUAACACAUGCAAGUCGCGGGGUCUGUUUCUGCAGACGACCGGCGCACGGGUGAGUAACGCGUAUCCAACCUGCCCCUCUCUUUGGCAUAGCCUUUCGAAAGAGAGAUUAAUUCCGAAUAACGUAGUAACGUUGCCUGAUGAUACUACGAAAGCUCUGGCGGAGAGGGAUGGGGAUGCGUUCCAUUAGGUAGUAGGCGGGGUAACGGCCCACCUAGCCAACGAUGGAUAGGGGUUCUGAGAGGAAGGUCCCCCACACUGGAACUGAGACACGGUCCAGACUCCUACGGGAGGCAGCAGUGAGGAAUAUUGGUCAAUGGUCGGAAGACUGAACCAGCCAAGUAGCGUGAAGGAUGAAGGUUCUAUGGAUUGUAAACUUCUUUAUACGGGAAUAAAACCUCCCACGUGUGGGAGCUUGUAUGUACCGUAUGAAUAAGCAUCGGCUAACUCCGUG